CUCUCCAAUUUUUCCUUUUGUGUCUACUAAAACUUCUCAAACUCUUAUUUUCCUUUUUUAUUUAGGAGUUGGAGCUGAGCAAGCACUGCUCAUUAGGGUAUUAUUGUCAUUUCAUUCUUUAGUUUCUUUCUGGCUUUAACACGCGUCCUCAAAUUUUAUCCUAAAGAAAACUGCAGCUCCGUUGUUUCCAACAGAAAACCACAGCUUCCAUCUUCCUCUACCUCAGUUGCUUGCAAGAUUUCAUAGUUGUCUCAAAGUUGUUGUGCACUUUCUUUGUUCUUCUUCGAUUGCAGAGGUUGUUUCUACUUUAUUAGAUGACACGUUCAGAGCAAAAGAACAAAUGCCCAUCUUUCUCUAAUACAACCGCUGAAAUGAGAUUCAAUGGGCGCAAAAAAUAUAAAGAAAUGUUGCUAGCUCAAAAAGAGGCAUUACUAUUACAAAGGCGCACAAGAGACCUCGAGUCAAGAAGACGUCUUCUACAAGUUCCUGUCAUGAUAAGAGAGCCUUAUGUUACGUCAACAAAAGUUGUUACAUCUGAAGUUCAUACUUCAGCUGCCACUUCUCCAAAAGGGAAAAGUUUGUUUCAUCCUUCCCGUGUCUUUGAAACAGGCGAGUAUAACAAUCAUAUUAUUUUUGUUAGCUUUCGGCAGCCAUAAGGCAUUUGCUUUUCUAAUUCAUAACUACUUCUAUAUUAGGAUCCACAUCAGCUACAUCUCCUGACCCCUGUACUGUUACCAAGAUCAAUAUAUCAAAUAGAGGUUUGUCUUAAUUUCAACAUAGAAUACUAUUCGCUAGUUUCCUCACAUAGAAUAGUAUUCACUAUUUUCCUUUCAGCUCUAACCAAUUCUGUGAUAUUUAGGAAAUAGGUCCAGCAGAGGUUGUCAGAUAAAUGUUAAAGAAUCUAAAUCUGAGUAUAUACCUCUCAAAGUUGUCCCAAAUUGUAAAUUCUGCAGUGCAAAAAGAUUUCAGUAUGAAACGCCUAGAUUUUGUUGCGAUAAUGGCUCGAUUAAGCUUACAUCACAUAAAAUGCCUACAGAACUAAGAACUUUAUUUUUAAAUUCUUCCGAAGAGUCUGAACAUUUUCGAACAUAUGUUAGGACAUACAAUAAUAUGUUCGCUUUUACUUCACUUGGGGUAAAAUAUGACAAAGACUUGGCUAAGAGAUAUCAUGGUAUUUAUACCUUCAAAGUUCAAGGAAAGAUGUACCACUUCAUUGAUGAUUUAUCAACGGGAAAGGGAAAAAACUUACAACUAUACUUCUAUGACAAUGAAAAUGAGGUGGCAAAUAGAAUUGCUUGUUCUACUAGAAUUCACGAAGGUAUGAUAAUAAAAUUGAUGAAUAUACUGCAGGUUAGUCCCUGCAACGGGAAAGGGAAAAAACUUACAACUAUACCCAAUUUACUGAACUGUUGUCUUCAAAUUACAUCACUUGACUAUAAGCAAAGGUAUGCCUUUAUUAUGAUAACUACGAAUCUUAUUUCAAAGUUUUAAUGAUCCAUGACCUAUUACUCGAAUGUUGUGAUUAUACCCAAUUUACUGAACUGUUCUCUUCAAAUUAUAUCACUUGACUAUGUGCAAGGAUACUGACAUUGAUUAUCCUGUCCAGCUAGCACAUUUUGCAGUCCUCUUUAAUAAGACCAGGCAGGUUCUUCAAAAAAAUAGGUACCCAUAAUUGAACACAUGAUUGGAGUUCUCUGUACUUGUAGGAAAAAUGUUGUUGUGCUGGUUCCCAUGUCUACGUAUAUGAACGAGUAUAUGAUGAACCUAUAGGGAAGGCAAAGGCAUGUGUAAUGAGACCUGUAGUUGGCGAUCCCUUCACGAAAGGUGUUGAACAAGGUCCUCAGUGUCUACUUCCACGCAAGAUUUCCCGAAGUAAUCUAUCUCCCAAGUGAAAAAAUUUAGUAAAUGAUUUGGCAUGUAGCUUAAAGUCUCAUAUUCUGAAGCUAAUAUCAUUACAAUAUACAUCAUAGAUCAACUCAGGACAAUUUAAGAAAACUCUUAGGUGCAUAAGAGAAGGCCGUGACAGCUCUGCCGCCCUUGAAUGUGGUGAUGAUACAAUUUGCUCCCAAAGCUACUUUAUUCAGUUCAAAUGUUAAGGUAUAUGCUUGAUAUCCUUCUUCUCUAAAGUCCUCAAAUAAUGUUUCUGAAAAUUCCUAGAGAAAGUAAUUUAACAUGAUCAUUGACACUUGCUUGAAUCAAAAAGACGUGUCAAUAGCACAGGAUGAGAUUUUUGCCCUGCGGCAGUGUGUCUUCAAAUUCAAGUAACUUAUGAUAUGAACCUUUUGUGGCAAAUUUCAAAAUUAUGCUCUCUUUUGUGGUUGACAGUUGUUCUUGACAUAGAGUUCACUAGCUUGCUUCCUAUAUAAACUUUCAGUAUGGCAUGGUAUUGAACCUCAGAAAUGUCUAAGCAUAUAUUUAUUGAUAAUCUUCAAUCUACAAUUUAUCAAUUAUUUUUCUUGCGGAGUACUUUUUAGGUGUUAACUGUUGCAUCUGAUCAUACAAGGGAUGUAUAUAGUGCAAUUUUAAAUCCCAUGUGCUCACCCUUUACAGAGGCUUUCAUCUUAGUGACUUGUGUUUAUCAUCAUCGGAAUUUAAAAUCAUCAUCUUUAGUUCACCCUUUCCCCGCCUGUCUGCAUUGCAAAUUUGAAGUUAAAAAUAGUGAUCUAUAUAAAAUGAAUACGACUAGUAUAUAUUCUGUGACCUAUUUUUGGCUUCACAUAGUAGACCAAAACUUAUACUCAUUUAGUUGGGAUGUUCUGGUGCACAAUUAAGUUUGUAGCAAUUGGAAUGCAAUAACAACACAUGUCUUUGGUCAUUGUUCCAUGCUCUUAUGAAAAAGUAGCUGAACAUGUUAGCCAUACAACAAAUAUUAGUUACUUCGCAAGGAUUUUUUCUCGCGCAUGUCUUUGUUUCUAACUUGGUUUCUUAGCUUUCUCCAACAUGAAUCUGACUAUUCUUUAUGGAAACUAUCAAUGCAAUUACAUCUGUACUUAGGACGUGGAAAGUAGCACUUAACGCCUCAUGUGAUGACACGUAUAUGUCUUGUAGCCAUUGCACAUCAAUCUUACUUUCUUUUUAGGAAUAUUUCAAAAGAUGCAUCUAUCAUUUUCUCUAUAAUUUGUAUCUGUGUAUUCUUCCUCCCCUCAGCACCAAAGAAGAAAUUGACACUGCUAUCUCUUAGGAUUUUAUCAUUAUUUUGAUAGGGAAAAAGAGCUAACCUUCUUUAAAAUGUCUUUUUAAAGGGGUUGCCUAAUUUUCCGGUUGUUUUUUAAGCAAAUGAAAUUUUAAUUGAUUUAGCUGCUACUAUAAAAAUAAAAGAGGGGUUUGUAAAGAAAUGAUUAUGUAGUAUAUGGAUGAUGAACCUUUAAGCAAAUGAAAUUUUAAUUGAUUUAGCUGCUACUCUAUAAAAAUAAAAGAGGGGUUUGUAAAGAAAUGAUUAUGUAGUAUAUGGAUGAUGAACCAAAAAGGUGUAAGAGAAUGAAAUUUUAUUAUUCUGGAAUUCAUCUUUUAUGCAUUUUCUAAAACCAAUAAAUUUUAUCUUUAUUUAUUAAUCAAAAUUGGCUUGGAUAUUUGGAUAUAUAUACAUACAUACAUACUAUUAGCUUACUAUUGGUUUCUUUUAACCAAAUUUAUCAAAGGUUGAAGUAGCUAUUUUUAGAGAAAUUUUCAUUUUAUUUUUUAUUUUAAAAAUAUAAUAUUGUAACGGUAACAUUUGAACUGGCUGAACUAAGUUCAAAUUUAGGGACCGCAUGUCCUCCAUCCAACAAGGGGCUCUGCCAAUUUAGAUUAUCAAGUUGUAUUUGUUGCAAGCAACUAGAUUGAUGAGUCACUUUUGACAAAAUUCAAAUUAUCGAAUUAAAAAGUAUAGAUUUUGUGUUUGGUAAAUAUACUAUGAUGUUAGAUAUUGGUGUAAAUCUCAUGUGGUUGAACAAUGAACACAUUUAAAAGUGAUGCUUUUUUUAUUAUUUUUUGAGGAUGGUAAAAUCUAUAUUUAUUGGUUUGAAUUUUUUA
This is an RNA transcript of Solanum tuberosum (potato), 4011 nucleotides long. RefSeq lists it as uncharacterized. NCBI's taxonomy places the organism in Eukaryota, Viridiplantae, Streptophyta, Magnoliopsida, Solanales, Solanaceae. The transcript is spliced from 4 exons. The record is from RefSeq and is a predicted model, not a curated record.